GAUGAAGAACGCAGCGAAAUGCGAUACUUGGUGUGAAUUGCAGAAUCCCGUGAACCAUCGAGUCUUUGAACGCAAGUUGCGCCUCAAGCCAUUAGGUUGAGGGCACGUCUGCCUGGCGUCACAUAUCGUUGCCUGAUGCCAGUUUCCUCGUGAUGGGUGACUGUGCAGGGCGAAUGAUGGCUUCCCGUGAGCAUUGUUGCCUCAUGGUUGGUUGAAAAUUGAGUCCUUGGUAGGGAGCGCCGUGAUAGAUGGUGGUUGAGUGACGAACGAGACCCAAUCAUGUGAGACCCCUACCGAAUUUGGCCUUCAUGACCCACAUGCGUCUUUGGAACGCUCAUGACGAGACCUCAGGUCAGGCGGGGCUACCCGCUGAGUUUAAGCAUAUCAAUAAGCGGAGGA
Molecule: unclassified non-coding RNA, 399 nt
Filed under: soil metagenome
Description: partial contains 5.8S ribosomal RNA, internal transcribed spacer 2, and large subunit ribosomal RNA
Rfam family: 5.8S ribosomal RNA (bases 1-121)
Source: RNAcentral